GAUUAACGCUGGCGGCAUGCCUAAUACAUGCAAAUCGAACGAAGCACUUGUGCUUAGUGGUGAACGGGUGAGUAACACGUGGGUAACCUGCCCAUCAGAGGGGGAUAACACUUGGAAACAGGUGCUAAUACCGCAUAAUUCCUUUUACCGCAUGGUAAAAGGCUGAAAGGCGCUUCUGGUGUCACUGAUGGAUGGACCCGCGGUGCAUUAGCUAGUCGGUGGGGUAACGGCCUACCGAGGCGAUGAUGCAUAGCCGACCUGAGAGGGUGAUCGGCCACAUUGGGACUGAGACACGGCCCAAACUCCUACGGGAGGCAGCAGUAGGGAAUCUUCGGCAAUGGACGAAAGUCUGACCGAGCAACGCCGCGUGAGUGAAGAAGGUUUUCGGAUCGUAAAACUCUGUUGUUAGAGAAGAACAGGAGAAGUAGUAACUGGCUUCUUUUUGACGGUAUCUAACCAGAAAGCCACGGCUAACUACGUGCCAGCCGCCGCAGUAAAAC
RNAcentral lists this ribosomal RNA (500 nucleotides) under uncultured bacterium. Its description in RNAcentral is "bacterial SSU rRNA". It matches the Rfam family "Bacterial small subunit ribosomal RNA", at positions 28 to 526 of the family's 1533-position model. The record is from RNAcentral.